AAUUCUGAUUUCUCAUAUUACCCGGGGUCCAUCCCUGCGAAAAGAGAGGAAAAGCAUAAGAUCAAGAAAAGGGAAAAGAGAAAUCCUCUGAUUACCAAAAGAAGAAGAACCGGUUUCAGAAGAGGUCCAAAGGAACUCAACUUAAAUUGCUGCUUUAAAAAGAGGAAGACUUAGAUUACUCAGAUGACAAGGGGAUGUUUACAGUUCUGCUUAUUGUCCUGCAUUACCAGCUGAUUUAAACUAGAUAAACAUAUGUGAUCAAUAAAAGCAAAAGAUGGAAAUGAUUGAUUGGAUAAUCGGUGGCAUACUAUUCAAAGAUGUACGAAUCACGCCUUUAAUCAAUAGAGGUGCACUUGUCGAACUUUGAUCUAAAAGGAAGCAGGAGUGGAAAGCCAGCACACUGCUAUGGAAGAUAAGACGGCUCAUAGACGAAAGAAAGUUAACAGAUCAGGAUCUCCAAGCCUAUCGAAGACCGUAGGAGGAGUGUGCUGGAAGACUGGUUGGGUCUCGAUUCUUUCCAAAGCAGGCCGCUUUUCUUUAGAUUUAGAGGUACCAGCCUCAUCGACAGGGAGCUCAAGUCGCUCUAAAGCUGGCCCUUUAUCUUU
RNAcentral lists this small RNA (605 nucleotides) under Arabidopsis thaliana (thale cress). Its description in RNAcentral is "ATSL087860". The record is from RNAcentral. Lineage: Eukaryota; Viridiplantae; Streptophyta; Magnoliopsida; Brassicales; Brassicaceae.